UACGUAGGGGGCAAGCGUUGUCCGGAUUUAUUGGGCGUAAAGCGCGUGUAGGCGGCCAGGUAGGUCCGCUGUGAAAACCCGAGGCUCAACCUCGGGACGUCGGCGGAAACCCUCUGGCUAGAGUCCGGAAGAGGAGAGUGGAAUUCCUGGUGUAGCGGUGAAAUGCGCAGAUAUCAGGAAGAACACCCGUGGCGAAGGCGGCUCUCUGGGACGGUACUGACGCUGAGACGCGAAAGCGUGGGGAGCAAACGGG
This 253-nucleotide ribosomal RNA is filed under the name uncultured bacterium. RNAcentral describes it as "partial 16S ribosomal RNA". It matches the Rfam family "Bacterial small subunit ribosomal RNA", at positions 524 to 776 of the family's 1533-position model. The record is from RNAcentral.